This 253-nucleotide ribosomal RNA is filed under the name uncultured bacterium. RNAcentral's name for it is "partial 16S ribosomal RNA". It matches the Rfam family "Bacterial small subunit ribosomal RNA", at positions 524 to 776 of the family's 1533-position model. The record is from RNAcentral.
CACGUAGGGCGCAAGCGUUGUCCGGAAUUAUUGGGCGUAAAGAGCUCGUAGGCGGUCUGUUGCGUCCGCUGUGAAAACUCGGGGCUUAACCCCGAGCCUGCAGUGGAUACGGGCAGACUAGAGGUAGGUAGGGGAGAAUGGAAUUCCCGGUGUAGCGGUGAAAUGCGCAGAUAUCGGGAGGAACACCGGUGGCGAAGGCGGUUCUCUGGGCAGUAACUGACGCUGGGGAGCGAAAGCGUGGGGAGCGAACAGG